This 301-nucleotide ribosomal RNA is filed under the name uncultured bacterium. RNAcentral describes it as "partial 16S ribosomal RNA". It matches the Rfam family "Bacterial small subunit ribosomal RNA", at positions 510 to 808 of the family's 1533-position model. The record is from RNAcentral.
AGCCGCCGCGGGAAUACAGAGGGUGCGAGCGUUAAUCGGAUUUACUGGGCGUAAAGCGUGCGUAGGCGGCUUUUUAAGUCGGAUGUGAAAUCCCUGAGCUUAACUUAGGAAUUGCAUUCGAUACUGGGAAGCUAGAGUAUGGGAGAGGAUGGUAGAAUUCCAGGUGUAGCGGUGAAAUGCGUAGAGAUCUGGAGGAAUACCGAUGGCGAAGGCAGUCAUCUGGCCUAAUACUGACGCUGAGGUACGAAAGCAUGGGGAGCAAACAGGAUUAGAUACCCCCGUAGUCCCUGUCUCUUAUACA